Molecule: ribosomal RNA, 253 nt
Filed under: uncultured bacterium
Lineage: Bacteria
Description: partial 16S ribosomal RNA
Rfam family: Bacterial small subunit ribosomal RNA
Source: RNAcentral
UACGUAGGGUGCGAGCGUUGUCCGGAAUUAUUGGGCGUGAAGGGCUCGUAGGCGGUUUGUCGCGUCGGGAGUGAAAUCCACUGGCUUAACUGGUGGCUUGCUUUCGAUACGGGCAGACUGGAGGUAUGCAGGGGAGAACGGAAUUCCUGGUGUAGCGGUGAAAUGCGCAGAUAUCAGGAGGAACACCGGUGGCGAAGGCGGUUCUCUGGGCAUGUCCUGACGCUGAGGAGCGAAAGUGUGGGGAGCGAACAGG